Molecule: ribosomal RNA, 253 nt
Filed under: uncultured bacterium
Lineage: Bacteria
Description: partial 16S ribosomal RNA
Rfam family: Bacterial small subunit ribosomal RNA
Source: RNAcentral
UACGGAGGAUCCAAGCGUUAUCCGGAUUCAUUGGGUUUAAAGGGUGCGUAGGCGGAAUGAUAAGUCAGUGGUGAAAGCCUGUUGCUUAACAACAGAACUGCCAUUGAUACUGUCAAUCUUGAGUACAUUUGAUGUGGGCGGAAUGUGUCAUGUAGCGGUGAAAUGCUUAGAUAUGACACAGAACACCGAUUGCGAAGGCAGCUCACAAAACUGUAACUGACGCUGAGGCACGAAAGCGUGGGGAGCAAACAGG